AAGCAGCUUGCUGCUUUGCUGACGAGUGGCGGACGGGUGAGUAAUGUCUGGGAAACUGCCCGAUGGAGGGGGAUAACUACUGGAAACGGUAGCUAAUACCGCAUAACGUCGCAAGACCAAAGAGGGGGACCUUAGGGCCUCUUGCCAUCGGAUGUGCCCAGAUGGGAUUAGCUAGUAGGUGGGGUAAAGGCUCACCUAGGCGACGAUCCCUAGCUGGUCUGAGAGGAUGACCAGCCACACUGGAACUGAGACACGGUCCAGACUCCUACGGGAGGCAGCAGUGGGGAAUAUUGCACAAUGGGCGCAAGCCUGAUGCAGCCAUGCCGCGUGUAUGAAGAAGGCCUUCGGGUUGUAAAGUACUUUCAGCGGGGAGGAAGGGAGUAAAGUUAAUACCUUUGCUCAUUGACGUUACCCGCAGAAGAAGCACCGGCUAACUCCGUGCCAGCAGCCGCGGUAAUACGGAGGGUGCAAGCGUUAAUCGGAAUUACUGGGCGUAAAGCGCACGCAGGCGGUUUGUUAAGUCAGAUGUGAAAUCCCCGGGCUCAACCUGGGAACUGCAUCUGAUACUGGCAAGCUUGGGUCUCGUAGAGGGGGGUAGAAUUCCAGGUGUAGCGGUGAAAUGCGUAGAGAUCUGGAGGAAUACCGGUGGCGAAGGCGGCCCCCUGGACGAAG
This 672-nucleotide ribosomal RNA is filed under the name uncultured Pseudomonadota bacterium. RNAcentral describes it as "bacterial SSU rRNA". It matches the Rfam family "Bacterial small subunit ribosomal RNA", at positions 73 to 738 of the family's 1533-position model. Lineage: Bacteria; Pseudomonadati; Pseudomonadota. The record is from RNAcentral.